Molecule: ribosomal RNA, 492 nt
Filed under: uncultured bacterium
Lineage: Bacteria
Description: partial 16S ribosomal RNA
Rfam family: Bacterial small subunit ribosomal RNA
Source: RNAcentral
AGUGAACGCUGGCGGUAGGCCUAACACAUGCAAGUCGAACGGCAGCACAGUAAGAGCUUGCUCUUACGGGUGGCGAGUGGCGGACGGGUGAGGAAUACAUCGGAAUCUACUUUUUCGUGGGGGAUAACGUAGGGAAACUUACGCUAAUACCGCAUACGACCUACGGGUGAAAGCAGGGGAUCUUCGGACCUUGCGCGAUUGAAUGAGCCGAUGUCGGAUUAGCUAGUUGGCGGGGUAAAGGCCCACUAAGGCGACGAUCCGUAGCUGGUCUGAGAGGAUGAUCAGCCACACUGGAACUGAGACACGGUCCAGACUCCUACGGGAGGCAGCAGUGGGGAAUAUUGGACAAUGGGCGCAAGCCUGAUCCAGCCAUACCGCGUGGGUGAAGAAGGCUUUCGGGUUGUAAAGCCCUUUUGUUGGGAAAGAAAAGCAGCAGGUUAAUACCCCGCUGUUCUGACGGUACCCAAAGAAUAAGCACCGGCUAACUUCGUG